UCAAUCCUGCAGCAGUGUUGACGUCAACCUGGGAAUAUUACAGAGAAGAUUAUCAUAGCCCCUUGAAAAGAUGCCUCACCAAUUUGUAACGUUGCCAUAUUUUU
Small nuclear RNA from Microcebus murinus (gray mouse lemur), 104 nucleotides. NCBI's taxonomy places the organism in Eukaryota, Metazoa, Chordata, Mammalia, Primates, Cheirogaleidae. The record is from Ensembl.